Lepisosteus oculatus (spotted gar) is the source of this 1533-nucleotide non-coding RNA. Lineage: Eukaryota; Metazoa; Chordata; Actinopteri; Semionotiformes; Lepisosteidae. The record is from RefSeq and is a predicted model, not a curated record.
AGCAGAUUGAGGCGAGCGCUCAGUCAGAUCGCCUUCUACUUUGCUUCAAGUCCCAAUUCAGCACCGAGACAAAUGUGACAUGAAGAUACAUGCAGGAUGAUGUCACGAACAGUUCUUUCCGGGCCAUAUGCAGACGACACAACCCGGAUUUGUGAGGAAACACUGGGGAAAAAGUCAUGCAGGAGAGGGCAUGGAGACAGGGGGCGUGUCCAAGGAGUGCAGGUGUCCAGGGGAAGUAAAAGAACGAAUGGACAGGACCGCAAUUAGAAUAAAAAACAUGAUUACGGUCCAAAGAUCUUUCACCAGGAUCGAGAACAUACAGCAGGAUCGUGAGAAAGAGUGCAGAUGUGUAUCACCGUUACGACACAUUACUUGAAAAAUACUGGAGCGUUCUGCUCCCGCCGGUGGAGUUAUGAACUGUGCUGUUGCCCCCUGACCUUGCAGUGUAGCAGCUCUUCCACCCCUUCCACACCCUAUAAAAAGGGGGGCCCCCUGCUCACCCUCUUUGUACUGCAUGGCAGGCUCUGGGAAACUGUGCUCCCCCUUUCUCUCCACCUGCGGUCUCACUCUCCCCCCUUAUCUCUCCCUGGUGAAUAGCACCUUCUUCUGUAACUAAAAGGGCAAUAAACCCCCUGCCUUUGUGAAGCUGCCAACCUGCCUUCUGGCUAGUCUGUGUCGCCGCCGUCUCCACCGAACUGGGCUUGGGGCCGAAGCUCCACAAUACACUCUAGCCAGAUAACCGACUGUUGAAAAACUUUCAAAACUACCGUGGCCUUUAAUUUGUACAAGAGGUACAAAUGGGGAUCUGAGUUAUAGGAAAAGGCAGCGUUAGUCCCAUGCCACAAAUGAAGCAAAAAUAUAAUUUGUCAGUGUAGUCUUCCUCAGCAUGAGAGAGCACAAAUAUGUGAACAGGGUAAUGCGAAUAAAAGACAGAGAAUGUGAGAAAGAGUAGAGGUGAAGAGACGGAAAUGCUUUCACUGUGGAAUGACUUGUUCCUCAGUGGCUUAUAGAUAGUAAUUUUAUUCCACUUUGACUUAAAAGAAAUCACAAUCAGGUUUCACGUUUUUCAAAAAAUCAGUAUGUUAAAACAUCUAUGAGCUCUGUGGAUGGAGCCAAGCAUUCAUCUAAAGCCUGAUUUCAGAUGGGUAGAAAACUGGUAGACAACUCUGUUUAGUAACGUGAAAAAAAAACAGAUUCAGGAAAAACUGUCAGCCUUGUUGAACAUAUACAGCAUAGUAUAAUUACAAUUUCUACAUUAAAAUCGAUGCUCUUUCAGGAGUGUGAAGAAGGCAAGAAAGGGUCAGGCUCUUUGGUUAUUCACAGAACUAUCCUUUCUCAUUUGCUUGACAGACAGUGUAGUGUUUCAUAAAAAUGGAACAGUGGUCUGUCACUAUAAAAUGUGGUAGAAAUAUCUCUUGGAAAUACUGUACAACAAAAAAGGUAUUAAAAGCCGUGCCUAUCCAUUUCAUUACAUAUGUUUGUCGAAUUUUCUUUCUAUGCAAUAUACUGUACUGUACCGACUGAUUAAAAUUC